This 1460-nucleotide long non-coding RNA is filed under the name Nicotiana tabacum (common tobacco). RNAcentral describes it as "long non-coding RNA (NTAB_LNC018320)". The record is from RNAcentral. Lineage: Eukaryota; Viridiplantae; Streptophyta; Magnoliopsida; Solanales; Solanaceae.
AGCUUCUUUGUUGUUUUCCUUCGAAGAUUAGGCUUCCAGGAGUCUUUUCUUCCAAGGAGAUCCGGUCAAAGCCAUGCAAGAUCGGAUCCCUUGAAGAAAAAUACCUCUGUUGGUCAAUCGAGGCGGAGACGAAUCUCAAAAGCCGUCUUGUUUGCUUUCUACUCCUCAAAUGGUAAGGUCUCAUUUACCUCUCUAUUUUUUCUUUCUCUUUUCUUCAGAAUUCGAGUCAGCUUCCUUCUAGGUUGAUUUUCAGUUGAAUAAACUUUGUGUUCUUCAUUUUUGAGAAUCAUCCCUGUUUUAGUCAUUGGUCAUAUUCAAAAUCAGUUGCUUAAGGGGUAAUUAAUUUAGUUUCAAUUCAUGAUUAAUUUAGCUUAAGUCUUGAAGUAGUUUUUUGCUGUCACAGUUGUUAGUUUCCUUUUGUUUGCUCUGAUUCUAUGAUUAGCCUAUAUUGUUAGUUAGUUGUUUUAAUUAAUGCAUAAUUAGUUUAGGCUCAGUUUUAUUCAAGUUUGUUUGUUUGUUUGACUCAUCUGCCUCUAUUUAUCAUUAAACUGAUAGUUUGAUAAGCCUUAUGAAGUUUUCUUAUGGAUCUGAUUCAGUUUAGAGAUUAGGUUUAUUUUUAAAAUUUUCAGAUAUUUUGCCUUUUAACUUUGAUUAUUUGCUUCAAUUAUUGAUAGUGGCCCAUUGGAUUCUGUUUGAUAGGAUUUGUAAUUGUUAAAAAACUCCUAGGGUCUUAAUUGAACAAAUGAAAACUUAGGAGGUUAAUUUGGGAAUAGGAGAUAGGAUUUUCAUAUGAGAAGCUUCUAGAAUUUGGGGCAGCUGGCUCAAUUUUGGCCUGCAAAAAUGCUGAAACCAAUCGAAAGCUGUCAGCUGUCCCAAUUCUGUUAAAAAAAAAUGUUGUGUGAGGGAAUAAUUCUUAUUCUGUUUCUACAGCACAUGGCACUCUUAAGGGAUAUAUAUAGACCCUUUCCUUCACACACAAAUAAGAGAUUUCAGACCCUAGAAAAAGACCCUAAAAGUUCGGCAUUGUUUAGCUAAAAAUUUUCUGAUUUUUUCACAAGAAAAACUAGGAGAAGUUCUUUGAAAUUUUCGGGUUCUAAAAAGGCUGAAACAUGGUUUAGUUGUGGAAGCUGUGUUGUUGCUGCUGGAUUUCUAUUUUGCUUUCGUUUAUGCUGACUUCAAGGCUCAUUUUAUUCUAUUUAUUAUAUUCAGGUACUCUUAUGAACCUCUGAAUGGAAAAUGAAGAUGCACAACAUGUUUACUUAGUUUUUUUUGCAAUAAUAAGAUGCGGUUUAGUUAGUUAGCUCUUCUAUUUUUUUUUUGUGUGGAAAUAGUUUGAAUCAGGACAUUAGAUUGAAACCAGUAUUCAUGAGAAUGAUCAUUUAGUAUUAGUUAGUCCAUGUAUGGUUCUCAAUAAUUUGAAAACUGGUAGGCAGCCAUAGUAGUUUACAUGGGUUUUGCUA